RNAcentral lists this ribosomal RNA (392 nucleotides) under uncultured bacterium. RNAcentral describes it as "bacterial SSU rRNA". It matches the Rfam family "Bacterial small subunit ribosomal RNA", at positions 29 to 419 of the family's 1533-position model. The record is from RNAcentral.
AUUGAACGCUGGCGGCGUGCUUAACACAUGCAAGUCGAUCGGUAACAGGUGUAGCAAUACAUGCUGACGAGAGGCGGACGGGUGAGUAAUGCUUGGGAAUCUGCCUAUUAGUGGGGGACAACCCGGGGAAACGUCGGGCUAAUACCGCAUACGCUCUACGGAGGAAAGCCGGGGACCGCAAGGCCUGGCGCUAAUAGAUGAGCCCAAGUCGGAUUAGCUAGUUGGUAGGGUAACGGCCUACCAAGGCGACAAUCCGUAGCUGGUCUGAGAGGACGACCAGCCACACCGGAACUGAGACACGGUCCGGACUCCUACGGGAGGCAGCAGUGGGGAAUAUUGGACAAUGGGGGCAACCCUGAUCCAGCGACGCCGCGUGGGUGAAGAAGGCCUGC